Molecule: ribosomal RNA, 502 nt
Filed under: uncultured bacterium
Lineage: Bacteria
Description: partial 16S ribosomal RNA
Rfam family: Bacterial small subunit ribosomal RNA
Source: RNAcentral
GAUGAACGCUAGCGGCAGGCUUAAUACAUGCAAGUCGUGGGGCAGCAUGAAGUAGCAAUACUUUGAUGGCGACCGGCAAACGGGUGCGGAACACGUACACAACCUUCCUUUUAGUGGGGAAUAGCCCAGAGAAAUUUGGAUUAAUACCCCGUAACAUAGCGAUGAGGCAUCUCAUUGCUAUUAUAGCUUCGGCGCUAGAUGAUGGGUGUGCGUAUGAUUAGAUAGUUGGCGAGGUAACGGCUCACCAAGUCUACGAUCAUUAGCUGAUGUGCGGGCAUGUUCAGCAGCAAGGGCACUGAGACGCGGGCCCGACUGGUACGGGAGGCAGCAGUAAGGAAUAUUGGUCAAUGGACGAAAGGCUGAACCAGCCAUGACGCGUGAAGGAUUAAGGUCCUCUGGAUUGUAAACUUCUUUUAUAUGGGACGAAAAAAGGUCUUGCUAGAUCACUUGACGGUACCAUAUGAAUAAGCACCGGCUAACUCCGUGCCAGCAGCCGCAGUAA